This 180-nucleotide ribosomal RNA is filed under the name uncultured bacterium. Its description in RNAcentral is "partial 16S ribosomal RNA". It matches the Rfam family "Bacterial small subunit ribosomal RNA", at positions 338 to 510 of the family's 1533-position model. The record is from RNAcentral.
CCUACGGGAGGCAGCAGUAGGGAAUCUUCCACAAUGGACGCAAGUCUGAUGGAGCAACGCCGCGUGAGUGAAGAAGGGUUUCGGCUCGUAAAGCUCUGUUGGUAGUGAAGAAAGAUAGAGGUAGUAACUGGCCUUUAUUUGACGGUAAUUACUUAGAAAGUCACGGCUAACUACGUGCCA